UACAGAGGUGCCGAGCGUUAGGCGGAAUCACUGGGCUUAAAGCGUGUGUAGGCGGAUGCCUAAGUACCUUGUGAAAUCCCACGGCUUAACCGUGGAACUGCUUGGUAUACUGGGUGUCUUGAGCCACUUAGGGGCGACCGGAACAAACGGUGGAGCGGUGAAAUGCGUAGAUAUCGGGAGGAACACCGGUGGCGAAGGCGGUUCUCUGGGCCUUACCUGACGCUGAGGAGCGAAAGCGUGGGGAGCGAACAGG
This 253-nucleotide ribosomal RNA is filed under the name uncultured bacterium. RNAcentral describes it as "partial 16S ribosomal RNA". It matches the Rfam family "Bacterial small subunit ribosomal RNA", at positions 524 to 776 of the family's 1533-position model. The record is from RNAcentral.